CAGCAGCCGCGGUAAUACGGAGGGUGCAAGCGUUAAUCGGAAUUACUGGGCGUAAAGCGCACGCAGGCGGUCUGACAAGUCAGAUGUGAAAUCCCCGGGCUUAACCUGGGAACUGCAUUUGAAACUGUCAGGCUGGAGUCUUGUAGAGGGGGGUGGAAUUCCAGGUGUAGCGGUGAAAUGCGUAGAGAUCUGGAGGAAUACCGGUGGCGAAGGCGGCCCCCUGGACAAAGACUGACGCUCAGGUGCGAAAGCGUGGGGAGCAAACAGGAUUAGAUACCCCUGUAGUCCCUGUCUCUUAUAU
This 301-nucleotide ribosomal RNA is filed under the name uncultured bacterium. Its description in RNAcentral is "partial 16S ribosomal RNA". It matches the Rfam family "Bacterial small subunit ribosomal RNA", at positions 509 to 809 of the family's 1533-position model. The record is from RNAcentral.